This 721-nucleotide long non-coding RNA is filed under the name Homo sapiens (human). RNAcentral's name for it is "HSALNT0083301". The record is from RNAcentral. Lineage: Eukaryota; Metazoa; Chordata; Mammalia; Primates; Hominidae.
AGGAUGCAGUGAAGAAACGCAUCAAACGAUGGAUAAGGAUGCAGUGAAGAAACGCAUCAAACGAUGGAUAAGGUUGUGGUGAAGAAACGCAGACACACCCUCGCUCUCUGGAAGUUUCCGUGACUGAGGUUUUGGGACCAACAUUGAUUUUAAAUACAAGGACAGCAGUUUUAAGGACUCAGUGUGGUGAGGACUCAUUGGAAAUAAGAAAACGUUUGCCUACUUUACAGAUUUUUAUGUUCUCUAAAAUAGGUCUGUUUUUAAAAAAGACAUUUUAAAAGGGACAUGUUACAUUCAAUGAGGGAAGAAAAUGGUAAAUGUCAGGGAUAAUUAUUUUGUGCUUGAAAGCAGAAGAAAAUGAAUGAUCCCUGAUUUCCUGAAGCAUUUAAACUAAAACAGAACAGCACCCUGCUCUGUGCUCCCGACACAGGUGGCUAAUCCGGAAUCCUGGUCAACAAAGUCUGCAGCCCUGCAGCCUGCUGUGAUGUUUGCUGAGCAGCAGAGACAGGUGAAGAGUUGCUCUGAGAAUGCCCUGAUCUGCUGCAGCUGUAGGUGAAGGAGCAGCUUAGGAUAGAAAUCAAGAUAAGAGCAACAAACCCAGGCUCCCGCGAGAAGCCAGUGGGUGUCCAACUUGAGGGCGGAGGAAGGCCUGCACUGCCUGGACGAGGACUGACUGCGGCAAAUUCACUCCAGGGCUGGGCGUCCACGUCCAGCCAGAACG